Long non-coding RNA from Dreissena polymorpha, 1773 nucleotides. RefSeq lists it as uncharacterized. The transcript is spliced from 3 exons. NCBI's taxonomy places the organism in Eukaryota, Metazoa, Mollusca, Bivalvia, Myida, Dreissenidae. The record is from RefSeq and is a predicted model, not a curated record.
UAGUUACCGCCAUAGUUAUUUUGGGUGCCAGGGUACGUAGGAUAGGUUGGGAGGUUCGUCUGCACUCGGGGUGCUUGGCCCCCAAACGGUUUUGCAGAACGGUUAUAGGAACUGCCAAUAUUGUUUGACUCCUUAAAAAGACCUGAAACAAACAACGGCUCCACUCACAUCUUGGUGAUCCCUGGCCAGGGAUGUUUUCUGUGUGGUGAACACCUGGUCUCCAGUGGCCGUGUGGAUCGGUUGAGGUUUCUCUGUCGGCUUCAACUCAGACAUCGGUGUCACCUUCGGACGCCAGAUCUGAACUGCCCCCCUGAAAAACAACUAAGUAGUGGGAGGAAGCAGGAAUUCCUGAGUCGACAUUAUCACACAGUUCUUGGCACCAGUUGUAUGCAGGCACACAAACAAUGUGGGCGGAAGAUUGAGGAUAGCCCCCCUUCACUUGGAGGAAGACAGAGAGUGAUUGUGCAGCCCAGGGACAUAUCCAGAACAGUCUUGAUAGUUCCAUGCUACAUCUCAACCGCUAUAUUGCAAAUGAUGUAGAUAAAAGUUUAAAUGAUAACAUAGGCUCCAUGUCAAACACAACCUAAAAAUGUUACACAUUCGAUUCAGUUUUUCGAUGUACAAAUCUUUAAUACAUUAAUGUUACACUCUUUAAAAUUAACAAUGUUAAUAUAGUUACUUGAAAGCAUUGCUUUUAACUCAGAGAUACCUCUUUUUUAAAUAUGUAAAGGUUUGUCAUUUGGUGUUAUUACACAAAUAUCAGUGUUUAAAGUGUGAAGUGUAAAAACCCUUGUUUAUGUUGGAAAGCCGAUUGUCCACAUGGAAUAUAUUUAACCGUUAGCUUGCUACCAACAUGGUUUACCUACUGGAUACUUUAACCCGUUUAUGCCUAGUGGACUUUCCCAUCCUUCUAAAUUGGAUCAAUUUAUUCCCAAAAUUAGGGAUGUCUAGUACAUUUAUUUCUAUAUUUAGAAUAUUUUUUACAGAAAUUCCUUUAAACCAACAGCGCAGACCCUGAUGAGAUGCUGAAUCAUGCAGCGUCUCAUUUGGGUCUACGCUGUUUGCCAAGGCCUUUUUUCUAGACGCUAGGCAUAAAUGGGUUAAAAGGCAUCAUAGGCAAUUGUGUGUUUACAAACCCUGUGAUCAAUUAUGACCAAACUAUUAUUUUGUGAAAUAAUUGUAUGGCAGAAUAGUGUAUUUGGGUCGGUAAGAUAUCCACUAUUUCAUGGACUGGGGCUUUAAAUAACUACACUAUAAAUGAGACACUAUGACUUGUACAUAAUUACACUAUGACUUGUACAUAAUUUCACUAUGACUUGCACAUAAUAACACUAUGGCUUGUACAUAACUACACUAAGACUUGUACAUAAUUAUCUGAUUCAUAUGAAUGGGUCAUAACUAGUCUACUAUAAUGACUGGACCAUAACUACACUAUGAAUAGGUAAUAACUACACUAUGAAUUGACCAUAACUACAUUAUGAAUGGAUAAUAACUGCACUAUGAAUUAACCAUAACUACACUAUGAAUGGAUAAUAACUACAAUAUGAAUUGACCAUAACUACACUAUGACUGGGUAAUAACUACAAUAUGAAUUGACCAUAACUACACUAUGAAUGGAUAAUAACUACACUAUGAAUCGACCAUAACUACACUAUUACUUGGUAAUAACUACACUAUGAAUCGACCAUAACUACACUAUGAAUGGAUAAUAACUGCACUAUGAAUCAACCAUAACUACACUAUGAAUGGAUAAUAACUACACUAUGAAUUGAU